RNAcentral lists this ribosomal RNA (613 nucleotides) under Apiospora sacchari. RNAcentral's name for it is "eukaryotic LSU rRNA". The stretch from base 241 to 394 matches the Rfam family "5.8S ribosomal RNA". Lineage: Eukaryota; Fungi; Ascomycota; Sordariomycetes; Amphisphaeriales; Apiosporaceae. The record is from RNAcentral.
ACUCCACACCAUCUGUUAACCUACCCAGUUAUGCCUCGGCGUAAGCUCGGCCGGAGGCAGUCCAGAGCUACCCUGUAGCGGCUUGGAGUUACCCUGUAGCGAGCUACCCUGUAGCGAGUUACCCUGUAGCGACCUGCUGCUACCCUGUAGCGAUGGCUGCACCACUCCGGCCGCGCCCGCCGGCGGUACACUAAACUAUGUUUUAUUUUAUCUUCUGAGCGUCUUAUUUUAAUAAGUUAAAACUUUCAACAACGGAUCUCUUGGUUCUGGCAUCGAUGAAGAACGCAGCGAAAUGCGAUAAGUAAUGUGAAUUGCAGAAUUCAGUGAAUCAUCGAAUCUUUGAACGCACAUUGCGCCCAUCAGUAUUCUGGUGGGCAUGCCUGUUCGAGCGUCAUUUCAACCCUUAAGCCUAGCUUAGUGUUGGGAAUCUACUGUACUGUAGUUCCUUAAAGACAGUGGCGGAGCGGCAGUGGUCCUCUGAGCGUAGUAAUUUAUUUCUCGCUUUUGUCAGGCCCUGUCCUCCCGCCAUAAAACCCCCAAUUUUUUAGUGGUUGACCUCGGAUCAGGUAGGAAUACCCGCUGAACUUAAGCAUAUCAAUAAGGCCCGGAGGAA